This 362-nucleotide ribosomal RNA is filed under the name uncultured bacterium. RNAcentral's name for it is "bacterial SSU rRNA". It matches the Rfam family "Bacterial small subunit ribosomal RNA", at positions 9 to 350 of the family's 1533-position model. The record is from RNAcentral.
CGAGUUUGAUCAUGGCUCAGGAUGAACGCUAGCUACAGGCUUAACACAUGCAAGUCGAGGGGAAACGGACAUCGAAAGCUUGCUUUUGAUGGGCGUCGACCGGCGCACGGGUGAGUAACGCGUAUCCAACCUGCCCACCACUUGGGGAUAACCUUGCGAAAGUAAGACUAAUACCCAAUGACGUCUCUAGAAGACAUCUGAAAGAGAUUAAAGAUUUAUCGGUGAUGGAUGGGGAUGCGUCUGAUUAGCUUGUUGGCGGGGGUAACGGCCCGACCAACGGCGACGGAUCAGUAGGGGUUCUGAGAGGAAGGUCCCCCACACUUGGAACUGAGGACACGGUCCCAAACUCCUACGGGACGGCA